Molecule: ribosomal RNA, 463 nt
Filed under: uncultured bacterium
Lineage: Bacteria
Description: partial 16S ribosomal RNA
Rfam family: Bacterial small subunit ribosomal RNA
Source: RNAcentral
GACGAACGCUGGCGGCGUGCUUAACACAUGCAAGUCGAACGGAAAGGCCUUUUCGGAGGUACUCGAGUGGCGAACGGGUGAGUAACACGUGGGCGAUCUGCCCUGCACUCUGGGAUAAGCCUGGGAAACUGGGUCUAAUACCGGAUAGGACCGCACUUUAGUGUGUGUGGUGGAAAGUUUAUUCGGUGUAGGAUGAGCCCGCGGCCUAUCAGCUUGUUGGUGGGGUAAUGGCCUACCAAGGCGGCGACGGGUAGCCGGACUGAGAGGUUGGUCGGCCACAUUGGGACUGAGAUACGGCCCAGACUCCUACGGGAGGCAGCAGUGGGGAAUAUUGCACAAUGGGCGCAAGCCUGAUGCAGCGACGCCGCGUGGGGGAUGACGGCCUUCGGGUUGUAAACUCCUUUCGCCAGGGACGAAGCGUUUUGUGACGGUACCUGGAGAAGAAGCACCGGCUAACUACGUG